Molecule: ribosomal RNA, 429 nt
Filed under: Chloroflexota bacterium
Lineage: Bacteria; Bacillati; Chloroflexota
Description: Chloroflexi bacterium partial 16S ribosomal RNA
Rfam family: Bacterial small subunit ribosomal RNA
Source: RNAcentral
UGGGGAAUAUUGCACAAUGGGCGCAAGCCUGAUGCAGCCAUGCCGCGUGUGUGAAGAAGGCCUUCGGGUUGUAAAGCACUUUCAGCGGGGAGGAAGGCGAUAAGGUUAAUAACCUUGUCGAUUGACGUUACCCGCAGAAGAAGCACCGGCUAACUCCGUGCCAGCAGCCGCGGUAAUACGGAGGGUGCAAGCGUUAAUCGGAAUUACUGGGCGUAAAGCGCACGCAGGCGGUUUGUUAAGUCAGAUGUGAAAUCCCCGGGCUCAACCUGGGAACUGCAUCUGAUACUGGCAAGCUUGAGUCUCGUAGAGGGGGGUAGAAUUCCAGGUGUAGCGGUGAAAUGCGUAGAGAUCUGGAGGAAUACCGGUGGCGAAGGCGGCCCCCUGGACAAAGACUGACGCUCAGGUGCGAAAGCGUGGGGAGCAAACAGG